Molecule: ribosomal RNA, 301 nt
Filed under: uncultured bacterium
Lineage: Bacteria
Description: partial 16S ribosomal RNA
Rfam family: Bacterial small subunit ribosomal RNA
Source: RNAcentral
CAGUCGCCGCGGUAAUACGAAGGGGGCUAGCGUUGCUCGGAAUGACUGGGCGUAAAGGGCGCGUAGGCGGCGGCCAAAGUCAGGCGUGAAAUUCCCGGGCUCAACCUGGGGGCUGCGUUUGAUACUUGGUUGCUUGAGUGGGGAAGAGGGUCGUGGAAUUCCCAGUGUAGAGGUGAAAUUCGUAGAUAUUGGGAAGAACACCGGUGGCGAAGGCGGCGACCUGGUCCUUUACUGACGCUGAGGCGCGAAAGCGUGGGGAGCAAACAGGAUUAGAUACCCCUGUAGUCCCUGUCUCUUAUAC